Molecule: unclassified non-coding RNA, 200 nt
Filed under: Tomentella sp.
Lineage: Eukaryota; Fungi; Basidiomycota; Agaricomycetes; Thelephorales; Thelephoraceae
Description: partial internal transcribed spacer 2
Source: RNAcentral
UUAAGUUCAGCAGGUAGUCCUACCUGAUUUGAGAUCAAACGUUCAAAAGCUGUCCUCACCGAGGAGAGACAUUUAUGAGCCCCAGUGAACUUUCAUUGCUGAAGGUUACCUGGUGGAAAACCACAAGCGUAGAUAGUUAUCACACCUGUGAUGCCACCAAACACUGGCAAGCUGAUUCAUUUGAGAGGAGCUAACCAUAC